RNAcentral lists this ribosomal RNA (253 nucleotides) under uncultured bacterium. RNAcentral's name for it is "partial 16S ribosomal RNA". It matches the Rfam family "Bacterial small subunit ribosomal RNA", at positions 524 to 776 of the family's 1533-position model. The record is from RNAcentral.
UACGUAGGGUGCAAGCGUUGUCCGGAAUUAUUGGGCGUAAAGAGCUCGUCGGCGGUCUGUCGCGUCGGCUGUGAAAACCCGGGGCUCAACCCCGGGCCUGCAGUCGAUACGGGCAGACUAGAGUGCGGUAGGGGAGACUGGAAUUCCUGGUGUAGCGGUGAAAUGCGCAGAUAUCAGGAGGAACACCGGUGGCGAAGGCGGCCCACUGGUCCGGUACUGACGCUGAGGUGCGAAAGCGUGGGGAGCAAACAGG